UGUGUGUGUGUGUGUGUGUAAUUUACCUUGUACUUGCCAUUUUCCUUGCUUUUUAGCAUUUGUCUCACUUUCCCUAGCAAGUAAGUUUGUUAUUUGUAGAACAUGCAAAGAAGUCACAACUUUGAUUUGUUUGAUUCUCCAUGAUCAUCUUUUGAGUGACCUCCACUUGUUCAAGAAGGUUACCUCUUCACGCACGUGUGACAGUAUUAGGUGUGGAGAGUAGGGUGCAUGGCAUCUCAUGAGGCAUUUAUGAGUUACAGCUAUAUGCAUUGAAGUGUUCCUACUUUCAUAGUCCAAUAUGGUUGCUGGUUUCUGAUAUACUAAUUGAGUGAAUCCAUGGAUAUUGUACAUUUAUUAUACAUAUGUGCACAAUAUGUAUAGAGUUGUUUGCUUUCCAACAUAUGUUUGCAGUCCUUGGAAAUCAUUUUUAUAUGCCUAUGUUUGAGAGACUAUUAAAACUUGACAAGAAAAAUUACUUAUAAAAACGAAAAGGAGGGAAUAGAUAGUGUUAUGAGUCAGCAACCGACAGAUGGCUUUAUUGGGUUUUUAUUUUGUUCAUUUGCUUAUCUUGCAGGGAGGAGGCUAGAGAGUUAA
RNAcentral lists this unclassified non-coding RNA (594 nucleotides) under Hevea brasiliensis (rubber tree). Lineage: Eukaryota; Viridiplantae; Streptophyta; Magnoliopsida; Malpighiales; Euphorbiaceae. The record is from RNAcentral.